GAUGAACGCUGGCGGCGUGCCUAAUACAUGCAAGUCGAGCGAACGGACGAGAAGCUUGCUUCUCUGAUGUUAGCGGCGGACGGGUGAGUAACACGUGGAUAACCUACCUAUAAGACUGGGAUAACUUCGGGAAACCUGAGCUAAUACCGGAUAAUAUUUUGAACCGCAUGGUUCAAAAGUGAGAGACGGUCUUGCUGUCACUUAUAGAUGGAUCCGCGCUGCAUUAGCUAGUUGGUAAGGUAACGGCUUACCAAGGCAACGAUGCAUAGCCGACCUGAGAGGGUGAUCGGCCACACUGGAACUGAGACACGGUCCAGACUCCUACGGGAGGCAGCAGUAGGGAAUCUUCCGCAAUGGGCGAAAGCCUGACGGAGCAACGCCGCGUGAGUGAUGAAGGUCUUCGGAUCGUAAAACUCUGUUAUUAGGGAAGAACAUAUGUGUAAGUAACUGUGCACAUCUUGACGGUACCUAAUCAGAAAGCCACGGCUAACUACGUG
RNAcentral lists this ribosomal RNA (497 nucleotides) under uncultured bacterium. Its description in RNAcentral is "partial 16S ribosomal RNA". It matches the Rfam family "Bacterial small subunit ribosomal RNA", at positions 28 to 507 of the family's 1533-position model. The record is from RNAcentral.